This 301-nucleotide ribosomal RNA is filed under the name uncultured bacterium. Its description in RNAcentral is "partial 16S ribosomal RNA". It matches the Rfam family "Bacterial small subunit ribosomal RNA", at positions 509 to 807 of the family's 1533-position model. The record is from RNAcentral.
CAGUAGCCGCGGUAAUACAGAGGAUGCAAGCGUUAUCCGGAAUGAUUGGGCGUAAAGGGUGCGUAGGCGGGUCUUUAAGUCGGGGGUGAAAGACGGUAGCUUAACUAUCGCAGUGCCCUUGAUACUGAUGGGCUUGAAUGAACUAGAGGUAGGCGGAAUGUGACAAGUAGCGGUGAAAUGCAUAGAUAUGUCACAGAACACCAAUUGCGAAGGCAGCUUACUACGGUUUUAUUGACACUGAGGCACGAAAGCGUGGGGAUCAAACAGGAUUAGAUACCCCAGUAGUCCCUGUCUCUUAUAC